RNAcentral lists this ribosomal RNA (460 nucleotides) under uncultured bacterium. Its description in RNAcentral is "partial 16S ribosomal RNA". It matches the Rfam family "Bacterial small subunit ribosomal RNA", at positions 338 to 795 of the family's 1533-position model. The record is from RNAcentral.
CCUACGGGUGGCAGCAGUGAGGAAUAUUGGUCAAUGGGCUUACGCCUGAACCAGCCAAGUCGCGUGAGGGAAGACUGCCCUAUGGGUUGUAAACCUCUUUUGUCAGGGAGCAACGCCGGCUACGUGUAGCCGGACUGAGAGUACCUGAAGAAAAAGCAUCGGCUAACUCCGUGCCAGCAGCCGCGGUAAUACGGGGGAUGCGAGGGUUAUCCGGAUUUAUUGGGUUUAAAGGGUGCGUGGGCGGAAUGCCAAGUCAGCGGUAAAAUCGCGGGGCUCAACCUCGCUCCGACGUUGAAACUGGCGGUCGUGAGUGAGCGAGAGGUAUGCGGAAUGCGUGGUGUAGCGGUGAAAUGCGUAGAUAGCACGCGGAACUCCGAUUGCGAAGGCAGCAUACCGGCGCCCAACUGACGCUGAGGCACGAAAGCGUGGGUAUCGAACAGGAUUAGAUACCCCGGUAGUC